Molecule: non-coding RNA, 114 nt
Organism: Acanthosepion pharaonis
Lineage: Eukaryota; Metazoa; Mollusca; Cephalopoda; Sepiida; Sepiidae
Source: the annotation of a GenBank genome assembly
UUGCAACCAUAUCAUAUUGAAACACGUGAUCUUAUAUGAUCACCAAAGUUAAGCAACAUUGAUCCUGGUCAGUACCUAGAUGGGUGACCACUUAGGAAUACCAGGUACUGUAAG